This 1372-nucleotide ribosomal RNA is filed under the name uncultured bacterium. RNAcentral describes it as "bacterial SSU rRNA". It matches the Rfam family "Bacterial small subunit ribosomal RNA", at positions 28 to 1381 of the family's 1533-position model. The record is from RNAcentral.
GAUGAACGCUGGCGGCGUGCCUAAUACAUGCAAGUCGAGCGAACGGACGAGAAGCUUGCUUCUCUGAUGUUAGCGGCGGACGGGUGAGUAACACGUGGAUAACCUACCUAUAAGACUGGGAUAACUUCGGGAAACCGGAGCUAAUACCGGAUAAUAUUUUGAACCGCAUGGUUCAAAAGUGAAAGACGGUCUUGCUGUCACUUAUAGAUGGAUCCGCGCUGCAUUAGCUAGUUGGUAAGGUAACGGCUUACCAAGGCAACGAUGCAUAGCCGACCUGAGAGGGUGAUCGGCCACACUGGAACUGAGACACGGUCCAGACUCCUACGGGAGGCAGCAGUAGGGAAUCUUCCGCAAUGGGCGAAAGCCUGACGGAGCAACGCCGCGUGAGUGAUGAAGGUCUUCGGAUCGUAAAACUCUGUUAUUAGGGAAGAACAUAUGUGUAAGUAACUGUGCACAUCUUGACGGUACCUGAUCAGAAAGCCACGGCUAACUACGUGCCAGCAGCCGCGGUAAUACGUAGGUGGCAAGCGUUAUCCGGAAUUAUUGGGCGUAAAGCGCGCGUAGGCGGUUUUUUAAGUCUGAUGUGAAAGCCCACGGCUCAACCGUGGAGGGUCAUUGGAAACUGGAAAACUUGAGUGCAGAAGAGGAAAGUGGAAUUCCAUGUGUAGCGGUGAAAUGCGCAGAGAUAUGGAGGAACACCAGUGGCGAAGGCGACUUUCUGGUCUGUAACUGACGCUGAUGUGCGAAAGCGUGGGGAUCAAACAGGAUUAGAUACCCUGGUAGUCCACGCCGUAAACGAUGAGUGCUAAGUGUUAGGGGGUUUCCGCCCCUUAGUGCUGCAGCUAACGCAUUAAGCACUCCGCCUGGGGAGUACGACCGCAAGGUUGAAACUCAAAGGAAUUGACGGGGACCCGCACAAGCGGUGGAGCAUGUGGUUUAAUUCGAAGCAACGCGAAGAACCUUACCAAAUCUUGACAUCCUUUGACAACUCUAGAGAUAGAGCCUUCCCCUUCGGGGGACAAAGUGACAGGUGGUGCAUGGUUGUCGUCAGCUCGUGUCGUGAGAUGUUGGGUUAAGUCCCGCAACGAGCGCAACCCUUAAGCUUAGUUGCCAUCAUUAAGUUGGGCACUCUAAGUUGACUGCCGGUGACAAACCGGAGGAAGGUGGGGAUGACGUCAAAUCAUCAUGCCCCUUAUGAUUUGGGCUACACACGUGCUACAAUGGACAAUACAAAGAGCAGCGAAACCGCGAGGUCAAGCAAAUCCCAUAAAGUUGUUCUCAGUUCGGAUUGUAGUCUGCAACUCGACUACAUGAAGCUGGAAUCGCUAGUAAUCGUAGAUCAGCAUGCUACGGUGAAUACGUUCCCGGGUCU